AUACAGAGGGUGCGAGCGUUGUCCGGAAUCACUGGGCGUAAAGGGCGCGUAGGCGGCCUGAUAAGUAGGGGGUGAAAUCUUGCGGCUCAACUGCAAGGCUGCCUCCUAAACUGCCAGGCUGGAGCACGGUAGAGGCUGAUGGAAUUCCCGGUGUAGCGGUGGAAUGCGUAGAGAUCGGGAAGAACAUCGGUGGCGAAGGCGGUCUGCUGGGCCGUUGCUGACGCUGAGGCGCGACAGCGUGGGGAGCAAACAGGA
This 255-nucleotide ribosomal RNA is filed under the name uncultured prokaryote. RNAcentral describes it as "partial 16S ribosomal RNA". It matches the Rfam family "Bacterial small subunit ribosomal RNA", at positions 523 to 777 of the family's 1533-position model. The record is from RNAcentral.